Molecule: ribosomal RNA, 507 nt
Filed under: uncultured bacterium
Lineage: Bacteria
Description: partial 16S ribosomal RNA
Rfam family: Bacterial small subunit ribosomal RNA
Source: RNAcentral
GACGAACGCUGGCGGCGUGCCUAAUACAUGCAGGUCGAACGCAUUUUCUUUCACCGUAGCUUGCUACACCGAAAGAAAAUGAGUGGCGAACGGGUGAGUAACACGUGGGUAACCUGCCCAUCAGCGGGGGAUAACACUUGGAAACAGGUGCUAAUACCGCAUAAUUCCAUUUACCGCAUGGUAGAUGGAUGAAAGGCGCUUUUGCGUCACUGAUGGAUGGACCCGCGGUGCAUUAGCUAGUUGGUGGGGUAACGGCCUACCAAGGCUGCGAUGCAUAGCCGACCUGAGAGGGUGAUCGACCACACUGGGACUGAGACACGGCCCAGACUCCUACGGGAGGCAGCAGUAGGGAAUCUUCGGCAAUGGACACAAGUCUGACCGAGCAACGCCGCGUGAGUGAAGAAGGUUUUCGGAUCGUAAAACUCUGUUGUUAGAGAAGAACAAGGAUGAGAGUGGAAAGUUCAUCCCUUGACGGUAUCUAACCAGAAAGCCACGGCUAACUACGUG